RNAcentral lists this ribosomal RNA (450 nucleotides) under uncultured bacterium. RNAcentral describes it as "partial 16S ribosomal RNA". It matches the Rfam family "Bacterial small subunit ribosomal RNA", at positions 354 to 796 of the family's 1533-position model. The record is from RNAcentral.
GUGGGGAAUUUUGGACAAUGGGGGCAACCCUGAUCCAGCCAUGCCGCGUGCGGGAAGAAGGCCUUCGGGUUGUAAACCGCUUUUGUCAGGGAAGAAAUCCUUUGGGUUAAUACCUCGGAGGGAUGACGGUACCUGAAGAAUAAGCACCGGCUAACUACGUGCCAGCAGCCGCGGUAAUACGUAGGGUGCGAGCGUUAAUCGGAAUUACUGGGCGUAAAGCGUGCGCAGGCGGUUUUGUAAGAUCGAUGUGAAAUCCCCGGGCUCAACCUGGGAACUGCAUUGGUGACUGCAAGGCUGGAGUGCGGCAGAGGGGGAUGGAAUUCCGCGUGUAGCAGUGAAAUGCGUAGAUAUGCGGAGGAACACCGAUGGCGAAGGCAAUCCCCUGGGCCUACACUGACGCUCAUGCACGAAAGCGUGGGGAGCAAACAGGAUUAGAUACCCUAGUAGUCC